GUGGGGAAUAUUGGACAAUGGGCGAAAGCCUGAUCCAGCCAUGCCGCGUGUGUGAAGAAGGUCUUCGGAUUGUAAAGCACUUUAAGUUGGGAGGAAGGGCAGUAAGUUAAUACCUUGCUGUUUUGACGUUACCGACAGAAUAAGCACCGGCUAACUUCGUGCCAGCAGCCGCGGUAAUACGAAGGGUGCAAGCGUUAAUCGGAAUUACUGGGCGUAAAGCGCGCGUAGGUGGUUCGUUAAGUUGGAUAUUAAAGCCCCGGGCUCAACCUGGGAACUGCAUCCAAAACGGGCGAGCUAGAGUACGGUAGAGGGUGGUGGAAUUUCCUGUGUAGCGGUGAAAUGCGUAGAUAUAGGAAGGAACACCAGUGGCGAAGGCGACCACCUGGACUGAUACUGACACUGAGGUGCGAAAGCGUGGGGAGCAAACAGGAUUAGAAACCCGGGUAGUCC
This 450-nucleotide ribosomal RNA is filed under the name uncultured bacterium. Its description in RNAcentral is "partial 16S ribosomal RNA". It matches the Rfam family "Bacterial small subunit ribosomal RNA", at positions 354 to 796 of the family's 1533-position model. The record is from RNAcentral.